Aedes aegypti (yellow fever mosquito) is the source of this 1499-nucleotide long non-coding RNA. RefSeq lists it as uncharacterized. NCBI's taxonomy places the organism in Eukaryota, Metazoa, Arthropoda, Insecta, Diptera, Culicidae. The transcript is spliced from 3 exons. The record is from RefSeq and is a predicted model, not a curated record.
GUCAUCAUCAUCACCACAGCAGCGACUCGCCAGCCAGCAGCGAGUACAAGACUGGCGGUCGUCGUUUGCUUCCGCAGAUCUUCCAAUCCGAGACGGCAGGUGGUCACUCCGGUGCAGUACUUAUCCGGUUUGAAAACGUUUUAAAAUGUGCUCAACGGUUCUGAGUAAGUACUGCUAGUUUCAACGCAAAGAAAGCCGUCAACAGUUCGAGGCGUAGUUUGUCGCUUCUAAGUGCGUUCAACCAUGUCGGUCUCGAAUCGGAACGGCAACGGAAGUGAGGUGAUUUACGUUGGCGAUAGGAGCACUAACCGGCCACCGCGGAAUGCACCAAGCCCGGAUGAGGAUCGCAAGGAGGUUAAGAUUUUGUUCUUUGAUUUGACCUACUACAACACGACGACACAGUUCUUGCUUUGCUGCGCUGGAGUCUUUGUCCUGUAUCUGCUGUAUGGAUACAUGCAGGAACUGAUAUUCACCCUGGACGGAUUCAAGCCUUACGGAUGGUUCCUGACGCUGGUGCAGUUUGCCUACUACACUGUUUUUGGAUACGUUGAGCGUUCACUGGAGUCCAAGAGGGUCCCACGAUGCAUCCCAAUGAAGACAUACGUCCUAUUGGCAUUCCUCACUCUCGGGACGAUGGGAUUAUCGAAUUCCAGCUUGGGUUAUUUGAACUAUCCGACGCAGGUCAUAUUCAAGUGCUGCAAAUUGGUACCCGGUGCUGAUCGGGAGCAUCUUGAUACAAGGCAAAAAGCAUGGACCAUUGGAUUUCCUAGCGGCCAUUGCGAUGUGCCUCGGGUUGACCCUGUUCACUUUGGCCGAUUCGCAAGUUUCACCGAAUUUCAAUCCUUUUGGGGUGCUUUUGAUUUCGCUGGCGUUGCUCUGCGAUGCAGCGAUAGGAAACGUCCAGGAAAAGGCCAUGCGAGAGCACAAAGCCCCCAACAAUGAGGUGGUGAUCUACUCGUAUGGGAUCGGUUUCGUCUACCUGAGCGUUAUUAUGCUGCUGACGGGGAAUCUGUUCUCGGGGAUUACUUUCUGCAUUGAAGUACCCCGUCGAAACAUUCGGCUAUGCUUUCCUGUUCAGUCUAUCCGGCUAUCUGGGGAUUCAAAUCGUACUCACCUUGGUACGAACAUGUGGUGCUCCUCUGGCGGCGACUGUUACGACCGCUCGUAAGGCUGUUACCAUUGCGCUUUCGUUUGUGUUCUUCAGCAAACCGUUUACCAUCAACUACCUAUGGUCUGGACUGAUUGUGGUGCUAGGCAUCUAUCUAAACGUGUACAGUAAACGCAGUAAAUUGACUUUCACCGAUAUUAAUAGGACAGCGGAGCGGAUUUAUCGCAAACUGGUGCCUCAGAGAGGCGGCUCAUCAAGUACCAAAAAGUUACUGCUAGAAGUUUAAUUCCAAGUUCGUAGUGAUUUUAAGAAUUUUAGAAAGGCAAGUCUGACCGUUGCUGGGUAAGUAUAAUUGAUCAAUAAGGCUAUAUUAAAAAUUAAUUUAUUUAUU